Molecule: ribosomal RNA, 1366 nt
Filed under: uncultured bacterium
Lineage: Bacteria
Description: bacterial SSU rRNA
Rfam family: Bacterial small subunit ribosomal RNA
Source: RNAcentral
GAUUAACGCUGGCGGCGUGCCUAACACAUGCAAGUCGAGCGGCAGCGAGUUUUACACUGAAUUCUGGAAGCUUCUAGUUGAAAGAGAAGAUUUAUUCAAGAAUUUUGUGUAAAAUGUCGGCGAGCGGCGGACGGCUGAGUAACGCGUGGGAACGUACCCCAAAGUGAGGGAUAACGCAUCGAAAGGUGUGCUAAUACCGCAUAUGGUCUUCGGAUUAAAGCCUUCGGGCGCUUUGGGAACGGCCUGCGUAAGAUUAGAUAGUUGGUGGGGUAAUGGCCUACCAAGUCGACGAUCUUUAACUGGUUUGAGAGGAUGAUCAGUCAGACUGGAACUGAGACACGGUCCAGACUCCUACGGGAGGCAGCAGUGAGGAAUCUUCCACAAUGGGCGAAAGCCUGAUGGAGCAACGCCGCGUGCAGGAUGAAGGCCUUCGGGUUGUAAACUGCUUUUAUAAGUGAGGAUUAUGACAGUAACUUAUGAAUAAGGAUCGGCUAACUACGUGCCAGCAGCCGCGGUCAUACGUAGGAUCCGAGCGUUAUCCGGAGUGACUGGGCGUAAAGAGUUGCGUAGGUGGUUCAAUAAGCGAAUAGUGAAAAGCUGGUGGCUCAACCAUUCAGAUUAUUAUUCGAACUGUUGAACUCGAGAGCAGAAGAGGUAGCUGGGAUUUCUAGUGUAGGAGUGAAAUCCGUAGAUAUUAGAAGGAACACCGAUGGCGUAGGCAGGCUACUGGGCUGUUUCUGACACUGAGGCACGAAAGCGUGGGGAGCGAACCGGAUUAGAUACCCGGGUAGUCCACGCCGUAAACGAUGGAUACUAGCUGCUUGGGGUAUCGACCCCCUGAGUAGCGAAGCUAACGCGUUAAGUAUCCCGCCUGUGGAGUACGAUCGCAAGAUUAAAACAUAAAGGAAUUGACGGGGACCCGCACAAGCGGUGGAUCAUGUUCUUUAAUUCGAUGAUAACCGAUAAACCUUACCAGGUCUUGACAUCCUUGGAAUCUUUCAGAAAUGAGAGAGUGCUUUUUAAGAGCCAAGUGACAGGUGAUGCAUGGCCGUCGUCAGCUCGUGUCGUGAGAUGUUUGGUCAAGUCCAUCAACGAGCGCAACCCUUGUCAGUAGUUGUAUUUUUCUACUGAGACUGCCCCGGUAACGGGGAGGAAGGAGGGGAUGACGUCAGGUCAGUAUUUCCCUUACGUCCUGGGCUAGAAACGUGAUACAAUGGCUAGUACAAUGCGCAGCGAAGCCGCGAGGUGAAGCAAAUCGCAUCAAAGCUAGUCCCAGUUCGGAUUGUAGGCUGAAACUCGCCUGCAUGAAGUCGGAAUCGCUAGUAAUCGCAGAUCAGCAUGCUGCGGUGAAUACGUUCCCGGGUCU